AGUGCUGAGAAGGUCCAGCUGGCCAGUGGGUUUUCUGAUUUUCUCGUCCUAGCAGCUGGGCAGUAGGGCCCCAGGGAGUGGGAGAUACUGCCUGGGGCAGCUGAGCAUAUCCAGGUGGGGAAAUCUCAAAUACAGGAAAGGCUCAACAAGCAGCUAGUUGCUGAGUCACAAACUGUGAGACUUCUUAAAGAAGUAGGGGGCCUGCAUGAAGUGUGGAGCAAACACAGAGAUCAAACUUCAGAAAUGAUGUGGUGGAAGGUGCAGUUAUUUACAUGAUUCAGCCUGUCAUUCAGCUGAGCAGUAUCCAUCUUUGAAAGGAGUAUUACCAGCAUGCCGAGGGAGAGAGGGCACCAAGAGCCUUGCAGGAACAGCUUCACAAGGGAAGAGAAGCCAAUAAUGCAAAUGCAGGGAGCUUUCAGCAGCCCAAACUCCUUUGUGGUGCUUCUGUGUUCUUGCUGUAAAUGUCUCAGGAAUUCUAAAUCUGGUCUGUAAAACAGAAAACAAAUGGACAAAAAGAACAACAAAAACAGAGGUGAGUUUGUAUUGUCCCAUGCUAUUAAGACAUCCUACAGGUAGCAUUAAUGUAUAGAUGAGUUAAUUCUUUAACACUAAGCUGUACCACAUCUGGAGUAGCAGGAAUCUUCUCUACCUUUUGCAGAACUAAGCAGUCUAAGAUUAUACAGUCUAGAAGAGCCAGUGAGCAGUAUCUUGUUGCUGAAUGUAAUUUCAGAAAAAAUAACCAAGAGACAAAUUUAAACUCUGGGCUGUUUUUAUUUUCACUGUAUCUACUCUAAACAAUUUACAGCAUUCAAGCAGGAGGAUGGUAAUGCACUGGUUUUCCUAUGUGUAACUAGUGUGGCAAAGAGACAGCUGAUUGGAAUUAACAAAUUUUUUAUUUAGAGAAAAACUCCUGUGUGAACUCCAGUGGUCCUGUGCUUGAUUAUAGACCAAUGUAAUUAAUCUCCCACAGGAAUACUGGCUCUUUCAUUCCAGCAGGGCUUUAGGUUGUGCUUGACAGUAUCCAUGUGCUGACAGAAGUAUCACAGAUGCACUUACUGAUUUUAGAAAACUAAACGUGGAUUAAAUGUGGUAAAAUCAAACCAUCAAAGGGUAGGCAUUCAGAGGAGGUAACUCAUGGGAGAAAUGGUAUGAGUAUGUCUACAGGUAAGCUCUUCAGUGUCCUCAGAGCCUUUCUGUCUAGAUCAGGGACCUGGACAAAGUAUACCACAGUUCUUUUCUAGCCCGCUUGCCUGAAUUGUUUUCCAGAGUAAGUCUUGUCACAGAGGACAGCCAGGAAAAGGACUAUGUUUGUGUAUGCUGAAGUGAAGUCAGGUUACAACCAUAGAACGUGUAAGGUUCUGGAAGACUGAUGUUUAAUUGUAUCAAAAAUCAUAGGGUUGAGAAAGUGAAUUAUCAAAUAAAAAGGCUAAUAAUGAACUAUCUCUUCUGCAAGGACAUCAGAGAGCUGGAAUACCAACCCCAUGACUUUUUGUUGCUUUAGCUAGUUACUGUGUUGAGGAAGUUGCAUU
Molecule: non-coding RNA, 1529 nt
Organism: Anas platyrhynchos (mallard)
Lineage: Eukaryota; Metazoa; Chordata; Aves; Anseriformes; Anatidae
Source: RefSeq, a predicted model, not a curated record